GACAGAGGGGGCAAGCGUUGCUCGGAAUCACUGGGCGUAAAGCGCGCGCAGGCGGUCCUUUAAGUCUGAUGUGAAAGCCCUCGGCUCAACCGAGGAAGGUCAUUGGAAACUGGAGGACUUGAGUGCAGAAGAGGAAAGUGGAAUUCCAAGUGUAGCGGUGAAAUGCGUAGAGAUUUGGAGGAACACCAGUGGCGAAGGCGACUUUCUGGUCUGUAACUGACGCUGAGGCGCGAAAGCGUGGGGAGCAAACAGG
RNAcentral lists this ribosomal RNA (253 nucleotides) under uncultured bacterium. Its description in RNAcentral is "partial 16S ribosomal RNA". It matches the Rfam family "Bacterial small subunit ribosomal RNA", at positions 524 to 776 of the family's 1533-position model. The record is from RNAcentral.